Molecule: long non-coding RNA, 246 nt
Organism: Sphaeramia orbicularis (orbiculate cardinalfish)
Lineage: Eukaryota; Metazoa; Chordata; Actinopteri; Kurtiformes; Apogonidae
Exons: 3
Source: RefSeq, a predicted model, not a curated record
AAUUUCAUGUCUCAGAGAAUUUAGGAAAAUGUAUUUAUUUAGUCCAAUGUCUUGAUUCCCACCAUUCGAGUAAUUUCUCACCAGAGGCUGCAAAGGUAGUGAUAACUGAUUCCUAAUUUCAAUAAAUUAUUGGGUUGGUACUGAGGAGAUUUCCCAGACACAUUUAAACACAAUCCAGUGAACAAGUUUGUGGCAACAUAACAUAAGACCUACCAUAUGAAAUUUAAUACCUUUGAAAGACUUUUU